AUACGUAGGGUGCAAGCGUUAAUCGGAAUUACUGGGCGUAAAGCGUGCGCAGGCGGUUUUGUAAGACAGUGGUGAAAUCCCCGGGCUCAACCUGGGAACUGCCAUUGUGACUGCAAGGCUGGAGUGUGGCAGCGGGGGAUGGAAUUCCGCGUGUAGCAGUGAAAUGCGUAGAUAUGCGGAGGAACACCGAUGGCGAAGGCAAUCCCCUGGGCCUGCACUGACGCUCAUGCACGAAAGCGUGGGGAGCAAACAGGAUUAGAUACCCUGGUAGUCCACGCCCUAAACGAUGUCAACUGGUUGUUGGGUCUUCAUUGACUCAGUAACGAAGCUAACGCGUGAAGUUGACCGCCUGGGGAGUACGGCCGCAAGGUUGAAACUCAAAUGAAUUGACGGGG
This 395-nucleotide ribosomal RNA is filed under the name uncultured bacterium. RNAcentral's name for it is "partial 16S ribosomal RNA". It matches the Rfam family "Bacterial small subunit ribosomal RNA", at positions 523 to 918 of the family's 1533-position model. The record is from RNAcentral.